GAUGAGUGCGUUUCUGGUGCAUAGUACUGUAACAUAUGACUAGAUUCACACUCAUCCA
This 58-nucleotide microRNA precursor is filed under the name Triops cancriformis. Lineage: Eukaryota; Metazoa; Arthropoda; Branchiopoda; Notostraca; Triopsidae. The record is from RNAcentral.